AGUGAUUUCGAACACUCUUUAAAUAGGAAGUUGCGAUUAACUUACAAUUUCAACUUGACUAUCACUGGGUAGCAAUUUAUUUAAGCAAUCUCUACUAAAAUCAUUAACUAUUUUAGGUUAUUUUAAGCUACCGGUAAAGAAAGAAUAUGUUUCUUGUAAUACUAUUAAAUUAUGAUAAUUUGGCAAUAUUAACAGACCUAAUAGAACUUCAGUAAAGAACCUAGCAAAUUUUCGAAACAUUUAGUGGCAUUUGAGUAAUUUGAAUUUUUUCUUAACGAUAUUAAAACAUAAGAGUAUAAUAUCUCUUUACAUAUAAUACCUAAUUACAUUUAUUUAUGUGUGAUUAGAUAUAUGCCAUUCCUUUUUUAAAUAUGGGUUAAUUAGGAUCAAAUUGCUAAAGUUAAUUUUUUUUAAAGAAAUAUAGCAACACCGUUAUUGUCUGUCUUCCAUGUUUGAUGUGAAAUCACGUCCUUGAUUGAUAAUUUUGAUAUAUUGAUAUAUUUUCAUUACUCUAAUGUACCCUUAAAAAGAACACUGCGCGUAUUAUUUAAUAAUUUAAAUCCUAGUACAAAUAAUAUCUAAUUUUAGCAGAUUGUAUUUAGCAACACUGCUUGUACCAUAUAUAAUAUUAACGGGUGGAUAUAGACAGUAAUAGUGACGAUGUGAGGGUGGACAAUGAAACUACGCGGGCUGCCAGUAGACGCCGUUCAUUUUAGUCCUGCUGUAACCACGUUGUGCAACUCGCCGCGUAGGUACUAUUUAUCGUGUCACGGUAAGUCCUUUCGGAACGGAUGCAUUUAAAAUAUACGUUAAAAAUGUACAUAAUUUUCAACAAUAAUCCUAAUUUACAUCUUGUUGGAUUACAAAGAUAUAUAUUUAUUUACCUUAAAUACAAAUUGAUUCAUGUUUUUAAACUAAAAAAAUUGCUUAUAUUUGGAUAGAUCGAAUAGGAUAUUUAUCUAUAUUUAGGCAGGUACUUAUAACAUGGUAAACAAGAGGCAAAAUGAAAUAUGAAUAACGAAACAUGAUUGAUAGUUUAUUUCACAAAGCAUUACAUUUUAAUGUUGUGUUUUUAAUAAUUAGGAUACUUUUACGUGCUUAUAAUAUGUAAUAUGAAUAUAAAACAUAUUUAAUGUAUUUACAAUAAUUAGGAAUACCAAUUAAUUUUGAGAUAAACAAGGCACAGCGUUUGUUAUACUAUAAAAGGUUGAUAUAUCACAAAUAAUAUUAAUAAUAAAUAUCUAAUUGCAAUCUUUUGUAUAAAGUUUUAUUUUUAAAUAUCACAGUAUAGUUCACUGUAUCACUGAAUUUUUGUUUAGGUACUAAAUUAUAAUAUCUAAGUAAUACAAAGAAAUAAAUAAAUAUAGUGAACAAAUUGAAAAUCGAUAUAAAAUAUAUCGAGUGAAAUCGGAAUAAUUAGGAUUCCUUUGAAAUAAUGUUCUAUCAGUGAAACUGGAUAUUUCGCCUAAAGAAACAUGAUUCAAUAAAUAACAAAAAUUAGAGCUUCUCAUACUAACUUAUCCAUUUUAUAGAACAUUAAAAGGAUGCCACUUAUCUCGUUUUCAUGCAAGGUGAGAUGCUGUUAUGCAAAGCGCUAUACGCCUCAUGAAACAAAUUUCCGGAUGAAAUGGAAAAAAAUUGUCAGUAAUGACAAAGACAAUAAGUUAAUAAAUUCAAGACUACACUAAAUUAGUUUCUAAGAAUUUAUACAGUGUACAUUAUUACUACUAUUAGUGAGAGAGUUCCUCAGAUAUUUCUUUGGUGAGUACCUACAAAGAUUAACUUUUGUAUAUUUUUAGAAAAUAUAGUCAAUAUAUAUUUUUUCAAUUUAUAUGUAACAUUUUGCUGUUAAGUGUUAUAUUGUGGAAGUUCAUAUUACUGGUUAUUUGAUUAGAAUUUUUUUGUUUAAUUCUGUUACCACAGAAGAUGAAGAAGAAAAUGAUGGUCAAUCGUCGCGUGUUGGAUGGUUGUUGCAUUGACACACAUACUAAUGGUAGUGGAAUUAAACAAAAUAAUUAUAAUAGAAUAACCAAUUAUAUGUGACAAUCCUAAAUACAGUGAGAGCAUCUCUAUUUAUAUUAUCAAUAUGAAAAUGUUGCUUGACGGAUCAACAAGUCAACCUAUUGUUAUUGUGUUUGGGAUGGACAAAGAUAUAGACUAUUUUUUACGUUGAUAACGCAGACAAAUAUAGGUACACAGGUAGAUAUUUACAUAUCUAUAUCUUGUUAUUAUAGAUAAGGGGCUACCCAUAAAUUACAACACGCGAAUUUAACAUUUCCUCUCCCUCGUGCUUGUCACAGCUAUGACGGCACAUAUUUUGGAACUUUACAUCUAAAAAUUAUUAAAUUAAGAUAGCAGUUCCGAAAUUAGUUUAUAAAUGUAAGAUACAGAUGGUCACGAAAUUUAUGACUCCUCUCAUUCCUUAUUACACAAUAUCACAUUGUCGAUCCCUUUUCUCCCGUAAUGUAAUGAAUGGAUGGCCCCUAAGUAAUAGGGCAG
Long non-coding RNA from Galleria mellonella (greater wax moth), 2499 nucleotides. RefSeq lists it as uncharacterized. Lineage: Eukaryota; Metazoa; Arthropoda; Insecta; Lepidoptera; Pyralidae. The record is from RefSeq and is a predicted model, not a curated record. The transcript is spliced from 2 exons.